AACGAACGCUGGCGGCAUGCUUAAUACAUGCAAGUCGAACGAGAAAGCCUUCGGGUGAGUACAGUGGCGCACGGGUGAGUAAUGCAUAGGAACGUACCUUUCAGAGGGGGAUAACUGCGGGAAACCGCCGCUAAUACCGCAUACGCAGGAAACUGCAAAGGUGGCCUCUCUUUGAAGCUACCGCUGAGAGAUCGGCCUAUGUCCCAUUAGCUUGUUGGUAGGGUAAUGGCCUACCAAGGCUACGAUGGGUAGCUGGUCUGAGAGGAUGAUCAGCCACACUGGAACUGAGACACGGUCCAGACUCCUACGGGAGGCAGCAGUAGGGAAUAUUGCACAAUGGGCGCAAGCCUGAUGCAGCAAUGCCGCGUGAGUGAAGAAGGCUCUUGGGUCGUAAAGCUCUUUCGACAGGGAAGAAGUGCAUAUAGGUGAACAAUCUAUGUGUAUGACGGUACCUGCAGAAGAAGCACCGGCUAACUCCG
RNAcentral lists this ribosomal RNA (479 nucleotides) under uncultured delta proteobacterium. RNAcentral's name for it is "bacterial SSU rRNA". It matches the Rfam family "Bacterial small subunit ribosomal RNA", at positions 29 to 505 of the family's 1533-position model. Lineage: Bacteria; Deltaproteobacteria. The record is from RNAcentral.